This 222-nucleotide ribosomal RNA is filed under the name uncultured bacterium. RNAcentral's name for it is "partial 16S ribosomal RNA". It matches the Rfam family "Bacterial small subunit ribosomal RNA", at positions 99 to 334 of the family's 1533-position model. The record is from RNAcentral.
CGGACGGGUGAGUAACGCGUAGGAACCUAUCGCACAGUGGGGGAUAACACGGGGAAACCGGUGCUAAUACCGCAUGUGGUCAGAGAUGAAGAAAGCAGCAAUGCGCUGUGUGAGGGGCCUGUGUCCGAUUAGCUAGUUGGUGGGGUAAAGGCCUACCAAGGCGACGAUCGGUAGCUGGUCUGAGAGGAUGGUCAGCCACACUGGGACUGAGACACGGCCCAG